Molecule: ribosomal RNA, 253 nt
Filed under: uncultured bacterium
Lineage: Bacteria
Description: partial 16S ribosomal RNA
Rfam family: Bacterial small subunit ribosomal RNA
Source: RNAcentral
GACAGAGGUGCCGAGCGUUAGGCGGAAUCACUGGGCUUAAAGCGUGUGUAGGCGGAUUGGUAAGUACCUUGUGAAAUCCCACGGCUUAACCGUGGAACUGCUUGGUAUACUGGCGGUCUUGAGCCAGCUAGGGGCUACCGGAACAAAUGGUGGAGCGGUGAAAUGCGUAGAUAUCAUGUGGAACGCCAAUGGUGAAAACAGGUAGCUGGGGCUGUGCUGACGCUGAGACACGAAAGCCAGGGGAGCAAACGGG